UCCCCCGUAGCUCAAUUGGCAGAGCGUCCGACUGUUAAUCGGCAGGUUACUGGUUCAAGUCCAGUCGGGGGAG
RNAcentral lists this transfer RNA (73 nucleotides) under Actinomycetales bacterium. Its description in RNAcentral is "tRNA-Asn". It matches the Rfam family "tRNA". From Rfam's summary of the family: Transfer RNA (tRNA) molecules are approximately 80 nucleotides in length. Their secondary structure includes four short double-helical elements and three loops (D, anti-codon, and T loops). Further hydrogen bonds mediate the characteristic L-shaped molecular structure. tRNAs have two regions of fundamental functional importance: the anti-codon, which is responsible for specific mRNA codon recognition, and the 3' end, to which the tRNAs corresponding amino acid is attached (by aminoacyl-tRNA synthetases). tRNAs cope with the degeneracy of the genetic code in two manners: having more than one tRNA (with a specific anti-codon) for a particular amino acid; and 'wobble' base-pairing, i.e. permitting non-standard base-pairing at the 3rd anti-codon position. The record is from RNAcentral. Lineage: Bacteria; Bacillati; Actinomycetota; Actinomycetes; Actinomycetales.